GAUGAACGCUGGCGGCGUGCCUAAUACAUGCAAGUCGAGCGAACGGACGAGAAGCUUGCUCCUCUGAUGUUAGCGGCGGACGGGUGAGUAACACGUGGAUAACCUACCUAUAAGACUGGGAUAACUUCGGGAAACCGGAGCUAAUACCGGAUGAUAUUUUGAACCGCAUGGUUCAAAAGUGAAAGACGGUCUUGCUGUCACUUAUAGAUGGAUCCGCGCUGCAUUAGCUAGUUGGUAAGGUAACGGCUUACCAAGGCAACGAUGCAUAGCCGACCUGAGAGGGUGAUCGGCCACACUGGAACUGAGACACGGUCCAGACUCCUACGGGAGGCAGCAGUAGGGAAUCUUCCGCAAUGGGCGAAAGCCUGACGGAGCAACGCCGCGUGAGUGAUGAAGGUCUUCGGAUCGUAAAACUCUGUUAUUAGGGAAGAACAUAUGUGUAAGUAACUAUGCACAUCUUGACGGUACCUAAUCAGAAAGCCGCGGCUAACUACGUG
RNAcentral lists this ribosomal RNA (497 nucleotides) under uncultured bacterium. RNAcentral's name for it is "partial 16S ribosomal RNA". It matches the Rfam family "Bacterial small subunit ribosomal RNA", at positions 28 to 507 of the family's 1533-position model. The record is from RNAcentral.